AUGGAUCACAUACAGGAAGUACGGCAGCUGGAGUUGCUAUGCAAGCAAUUGUACGAGUCGCAGGAUUCAGCGCAUCGCGCAGAGGCGGAAAAGGCCUUGGUCGCUUUCCAGAAUGCACCAGAUACUCUUACGAAGUGCCAGCUUCUCCUGGACCGCGGGGACUCUGCGUACGCUCAAUUACUGGCCGCUACCACCUUGACAAAGCUGGUAUCACGUUCGGCACAGGGACAACUUACAACAACACUCAGCUUACAACAGAGGCUUGAUAUACGAAAUUACGUACUCAACUACUUAGCAACACAACCAAAGUUACCGAAUUUUGUGAUACAGGCUUUGGUUACACUAUUCGCGAGGAUAUCAAAGCUUGGGUGGUUUGAUUCUGAUAAAGAGGAAUUUGUCUUCAGGAAUGUAGUCAGCGAUGUAGCCAAGUUUCUUCAGGGGUCAGUGGAGCAUUGUAUGAUAGGAGUACAGUUGCUUUCUCAAUUGACAUGUGAAAUGAAUCAAAUAUCGGAAGCCGAUGCAAACAGAUCUCUGACAAAGCAUAGAAGAAUAGCGAGUAGCUUUAGAGACACACAACUAUUUGAAAUAUUUAGGUUAUCAUGUACCUUACUAAGCACUGCUCGCGAGAAUUGUAAAAAUUUAAAUUUCAAUGAUGAGGCGCAGCACGGUUUGAUAAGACAAUUGUUAAAGCUUGCACAAAAUUGUUUGACAUUUGACUUUAUUGGUACAUCAACUGAUGAAAGUUCGGAUGAUCUUAAUACAGUACAAAUCCCGACAAGCUGGAGACCUGCGUUUCUGGAUUUUACUUCUUUGAAAUUGUUUUUUGAUCUAUAUCACAGUCUACCUAAUACGUUAUCGUGUUUGGCACUCUCAUGCCUGGUUCAAAUAGCGUCGGUUAGACGGAGUUUAUUUUCCAAUACUGAAAGGGCAAAAUUUCUGACACACUUAGUCAAUGGUAUUAAGCAUAUACUACAGAAUCCUCAGGGUCUUAGUGAUCCAGGAAACUAUCACGAGUUUUGUAGAUUAUUGUCUCGACUGAAGAGCAAUUUCCAACUUGGCGAGUUGGUUUUGGUAGAGGAUUAUCCCGAAGCAAUACAACUGAUCGCAAAGUUUACAGUGCAAAGCUUACAAAUGUGGCAAUUUGCGCCAAAUAGUCUGCAUUAUCUUUUGACUUUGUGGCAAAGGAUGGUAUCUUCAAUGCCAUAUGUAAAAGCUGGUGAUCCACAUUUAUUGAAUACGUACACACCGGAAGUUACAAACGCGUACAUUACAUCGAGACUCGAGUCGGUAGCAGUAGUGGUCAGAGAACGCUUGGAGGAUCCAUUGGACGAUCUAGGAGUGGUUCAUCAUCAGUUAGAACAAAUAUCAGUCAUUGGUAGGUGCGAGUAUCAAAAAACCUGCACCUUACUAGUCCAACUGUUCGAUCAAGCUGCAAGAACAUACCAAGAGCUAAUGACGCAAACGGUGUCACCAACGCAACAAAUUGACAUUGCAAUUCAAGAGGGACAACUCACAUGGCUUGUAUAUAUCAUAGGUGGUGUUAUCGGCGGAAGAGUUGCAUUUAACAGUAACGAGGAAUUUGAUGCUAUGGAUGGAGAACUGGUUUGCAGAGUGCUUCAAUUGAUGAAUCUAACUGACUCAAGACUCGCGCAAGGGGGCUGUGAAAAAUUGGAAUUAGCGAUGUUGAGCUUUUUUGAGCAAUUUCGGAAAAUUUAUGUUGGUGAUCAAGUUCAAAAGAAUUCUAAAGUGUAUAGGAGGUUGUCUGAUGUGUUGGGUCUUAAUGAUGAGGCGAUGGUACUCAGCAUUUUUAUUCGAAAGAUAAUAACGAAUUUGAAGUACUGGGGUAGGAGUGAACAAAUUAUUUCCAAGACGCUACAACUUUUAAAUGAUUUAUCAGUGGGUUAUAGUUGUGUUCGUAAACUCGUCAAAUUAGAAGAAGUACAAUUUAUGCUCAACAAUCAUACGCGAGAACACUUUCCAUUUUUGGGAAACAAUGUUGCUGUGACAGAAAUGCGCUGUAGAUCAAUGUUUUACACAUCUCUUGGUAGAUUAUUGAUGGUAGACUUAGGUGAGGACGAAGAAAGGUUUCAUACCUUUAUGUUACCUCUUACAGGUGCAUUAGAGAGCCUUGGUCAAUUAAUGGGUGCUGCAGAUACACCUCUCUUUGCAGCAGAGGAAGCAAAGAAAGCAUUGAUUGGUUUAGCGCGAGAUCUUAGAGGCUUAGCUUAUGCAUUCAACACCAAGACAUCCUAUAUGAUGCUUUUUGAUUGGAUAUAUCCGAAUUAUACACCGAUUUUAUUACAUGCUGUGGAGUUGUGGCAUCACGAACCACAGGUGACAACGCCCGUCCUGAAGUUAUUUGCUGAGUUAGUACAAAAUAGGAGUCAACGAUUACAGUUUGAUGCAUCGUCUCCAAAUGGGAUACUGUUGUUCCGCGAGGCUAGCAAAAUAAUAUGUAGCUAUGGCAAUCACAUAUUAAACGUUGAAGUACCUAAGGAUCAGAUUUAUCCUUUAAAACUCAAAGGAAUAAGUAUAUGCUUCAGUAUGUUAAAAGCAGCCUUGUGCGGAAGUUACGUAAACUUUGGAGUGUUUAGGCUAUAUGGUGAUGAGGCGUUGGACAAUGCCCUUAAUACAUUUGUUAAAUUACUCCUUAGUAUUCCACAAAGUGAUCUCUUGCAUUAUCCAAAACUGUCGGCAACAUAUUAUUUGUUACUGGAAUGUCUGGCGCAAGAUCACAUGGUCUUUUUAUCUACUUUGGAACCUAGGGUUUUUCUGUACAUCCUUUCCAGUAUCAGCGAAGGCCUUACAGCACUAGAUACUAUGGUUUGUACCGGUUGCUGUGCAACUCUUGAUCAUAUUGUGACAUAUUUGUUUAAACAACUUUAUCAAAAAGGAUAUCCAGGAAGGAAAAAUGCAGUUGUUCCUGGAGGAGGAGAAUUAUUUUUACAAGUUUUAAAACAGCAUCCUGAAAUACUUCAACAAAUUUUAAGUACUGUUUUAAAUGUGAUAAUGUUUGAAGAUUGUAGAAAUCAAUGGAGCAUGUCUCGUCCUUUAUUAGGUCUCAUAUUAUUAAAUGAAGACUAUUUCAAUCAAUUAAGAGAAAAUAUUAUUAGAAGUCAACCAGUUGAUAAGCAAGCAGCGAUGGCCCAAUGGUUUGAAAAUUUAAUGAAUGGGAUUGAAAGAAAUUUACUCACAAAAAAUAGAGAUAGGUUUACACAAAAUUUAUCAAUGUUUAGAAGAGACAUAAAUGAUGCCCUAAAAGGACCUAAUAUAUCAAAUUCAGUCAAUGAUAUGAUGACUUCGUAGUAAUACUGCUCUCUCUGAAAUAGAUUCUUCUAGGUUCUUGCCUGCCAAAUGCUUGAAUAUUCUUGUAGAAGAGAGAGAGAGAGAGAGGGGGGGAGACACAAAUCGCGAUACACUCAUUACUUAAAAUUUAUUCAAAUAAAAGAGCUAUUAUGAAGCUAUAUUAUCCAGUGAGUUAUGAAUAAUGUGAACGAUGUAAAUGAGGAUAUCAUUAAAUUUAUCAUACAAAGAUUCACUUAAGAAUAUAUAGUUAUUAUAUUGUGUUAUUAUUGACAUUACUUCAGAAAGAUAGAUGAACGAAAUAGAUAUUACGAGACGUUAAGUAAUAUUCGUUAAUUUUACUAUAUAAAAACGAUUAUAUAUAAAGCAAAUCACGCAAUUUUGAGCAAUCGUCUGUCUAACAGCAUUGUCUCAAUUGUAUCCUAUAUCACGAACUUCUAUAUUGAUUAAUAUUUAUUGAGUCAUAACUAUCAAAAUGUUCAAAUUUUCAUCGACAGAUAAAUAAAUAUAAAAAAUAUUCGAUAUAUUUUAUAACAAAAUAAAAUUGGGAUAAUCGAGAAAUGGACAAACAAAAUGGACAGGAUAAGAUAUAGGAUGUUGCGCUAAGAUAUCUUAUAUCGAAAUGUUUUUAAUCAUCCUCUUUUAUUGUAAAUAUCGUUGCAAAAUUUAUUGGCCAUAGAAGAGAGAGAGAGAGAAAGAAAGAGAGGAAACAUUCCUUUAUUUUUUUAUACGU
Molecule: RNA transcript, 4036 nt
Organism: Trachymyrmex cornetzi
Lineage: Eukaryota; Metazoa; Arthropoda; Insecta; Hymenoptera; Formicidae
Gene: Ranbp16
Gene name: Ran-binding protein 16
Exons: 15
Source: RefSeq, a predicted model, not a curated record